GACGAACGCUGGCGGCGUGCUUAACACAUGCAAGUCGAACGGAAAGGCCCUGCUUUUGUGGGGUGCUCGAGUGGCGAACGGGUGAGUAACACGUGAGUAACCUGCCCUCGACUUUGGGAUAACUUCAGGAAACUGGGGCUAAUACCGGAUAGGAGCUCCUGCUGCAUGGUGGGGGUUGGAAAGUUUCGGCGGUUGGGGAUGGACUCGCGGCUUAUCAGCUUGUUGGUGGGGUAGUGGCUUACCAAGGCUUUGACGGGUAGCCGGCCUGAGAGGGUGACCGGCCACAUUGAGACUGAGAUACGGCCCAGACUCCUACGGGAGGCAGCAGUGGGGAAUAUUGAACAAUGGGCGGAAGCCUGAUGCAGCCACGCCGCGUGCGGGAUGACGGCCUUCGGGUUGUAACCCGCUUUCGCCUGUGACGAAGCGUGAGUGACGGUAAUGGGUAAAGAAGCACCGGCUAACUACGUG
RNAcentral lists this ribosomal RNA (468 nucleotides) under uncultured bacterium. RNAcentral's name for it is "partial 16S ribosomal RNA". It matches the Rfam family "Bacterial small subunit ribosomal RNA", at positions 28 to 507 of the family's 1533-position model. The record is from RNAcentral.